AUACGAAGUCGGACCUGCCCAGUGAAUUUUAAACGGCCGCGGUACUCUGACCGUGCAAAGGUAGCAUAAUCAUUUGCCUUAUAAUUGAAGGCUGGAAUGAAUGGUUUGACAAGAAUACAGCUGUCUCUUUAAGAUUAUUUAGAAUUUUAUCUUUGGAUGAAAAAGUCCAAAUUCUAGUAAAAGACAAGAAGACCCUAUCGAGCUUCAGAAAAAUUAAUAGACUUAAUAAUCAAUAUAGAUAAAAGACAAAACUAUUAAGUACUUUGGUUGGGGCAACCGAGGAACAUAUAAAGCUUCCUUUAAUCUAUAAAUCCUACUUGUGUCGAUCCAGAAAUUUUGAUCAAAGGAAUUAGUUACCGUAGGGAUAACAGCAUUAUCUUUUUCAAGAGCCCAUAUCGAAAAAAAGGUUUGUGACCUCGAUGUUGGACCAGAAUAUCCUAAAGAUGCAGAAGUCUUUAAGGGUUGGUCUGUUCGACCAUUAAAAUUCUA
This 489-nucleotide ribosomal RNA is filed under the name Conus dusaveli. Its description in RNAcentral is "partial 16S ribosomal RNA". It matches the Rfam family "Bacterial large subunit ribosomal RNA", at positions 1845 to 2598 of the family's 2925-position model. The record is from RNAcentral. Lineage: Eukaryota; Metazoa; Mollusca; Gastropoda; Neogastropoda; Conidae.